Solanum verrucosum is the source of this 198-nucleotide small nuclear RNA. RefSeq annotates it as U2 spliceosomal RNA. NCBI's taxonomy places the organism in Eukaryota, Viridiplantae, Streptophyta, Magnoliopsida, Solanales, Solanaceae. The record is from RefSeq and is a predicted model, not a curated record. The transcript has a single exon.
AUACCUUUCUCGGCCUUUUGUGGCUAAGAUCAAGUGUAGUAUUUGUUCUUAUCAGUUUAAUAUCUAAUAUAUGGGCCAUUGGUCCACACGAUAUUAACUAAAAAAUUUUGAAGUGGAGGUCCACCACGGUAGCUUGCUAUCGAGACCUUCAAGUGUCGUCUUGGUGUUGCACUACUGCCUUGGCCUGGCAUACCCCAC